This 497-nucleotide unclassified non-coding RNA is filed under the name Hevea brasiliensis (rubber tree). The record is from RNAcentral. Lineage: Eukaryota; Viridiplantae; Streptophyta; Magnoliopsida; Malpighiales; Euphorbiaceae.
UGUGAUUGAGAGGAAGAUUUGAAGAUCGCGGCUCCUUGAUUGGCCACAAGGAAUCCUGAGGUGCAGAAGAUGGUAUAAGAUGUUGAUAAUUAUUUUCUGAUGAUUGAAUACCCAUUUUUCGGUGAUCCAUCAAAAGUCUCNNNGUUUUCCUCGUCACCUCCAGCUGGUGCCCAAAUAAUAGAGUUUGUCGCAACUUCUGAAAACUUACUCUGCUGCUGAGUUUCAAAAUGCAAUUGUUGCAUCCCUCCUUCAAUCCAACUCUUCUCCAACUGCCCAUUUUUUCCAGUAUGGUACCCAAUUGCUUGUUGGUGAGAACCAUAAAAAUCAUCUGAAAUUUGCUGACACAGGAAAGGAUUACCAGAAGAGGCAGAACCUAGUUGGUCAGCAGGCUGCAUAUAGAGAUGUUCUGUUAAAUCAGGAUCUUGAGGAUGAUCAUUUACAUUAUCCAACUUCAUCCCAGGGGUGACACCAGGAAGAGACAUUGAACUCUCAAAUUC